UAAACUAGGAUUAGAUACCCUAUUAUUUAAAAUGUAAAUUUGUAUAUUGGAUCAUUAAUAGUUAUGUGCUUUAAAAUUAAAGAAUUUGGCGGUAUUUUAGUCCAUUCAGAGGAACCUGUCCUGUAAUUGAUUCUCCACGUUGACACUUACUUAGUCUAAAGGUUUGUAUAUCGUCGUAGCUUGAGGAUUUUAAAAGAACAAUAAUCUUCAUAAUUUAUGUGUAUAAGGGAAUUCAGAUCAAGGUGCAGCUUAUGGCUAAGGAGAGAUGGGUUACAAUAAUUUUAUUUAAACGGAUAGGUUAUGUAAUAUAAUCUUGAAGGUGGAUUUGAAAGUAAUAUUAUCUAUCUUGUUAAUAUGAUUUAGGCUCUAAAAUAUGCACAUAUCGCCCGUCGCUUUCAUCGAAGUUGAAAUAAGUCGUAACAAAGUAGGCGUACUGGAAAGUGUGCCUGGAAAGGCAAAUUAAAGCUUUAAUAAGCAUCUUAUUUACAUUAAGGAGAUAUUUGUGAGAUUCAAUUUAGUGAAUUUAACUUAUUAUUAAUAUUUGGUGUGAGAAAUAAUUUUUCUAAAGAAAGAUAGGUUUAUUAUUAUAUGGAAUAGCUUACUUUAAUUAUAGAUAAUUAGUACUGUGAAGGAACUACUUUAUAUAGUAAAAAGAAGGUUUUAUUUAUUGUACCUUGUGUAUCAGGGUCUAUCAAUUAAAUAGUAAUUAUUUACUUUUCUCGAAUCUAAAAGAGCUAAUUUAGUAUAUAUUUUACUGUUGAAUAAGUAUUUAAAAUACUAAAUUAGUAAUGAAACGUUAUUCGUUUUUAGAUAUAUCUAGUUUCUUUAGAAAUGAAUUCAAUUCAGCUAAUUUUUUAAACUUGCUUUUAUUGAUAAGUUAUUUUAAAAAUUAAGUAAUAUUUUAAGGGAUGAGCUUUAAAAUAUUUCUAUAGAAUAAAAGUUUUAUAUAGGUUCGUAGGAUUAGAAGUUUCCAUCAUUCGUAGUGUGUUAUAGCAAUACUAAAGUAGAAAAUGAUUUUUAUAAUUCUUAGUUUUUUAUAAAGAAACUUAAUUUAAUUAUUAAGUUAAGGUUAUAAUGAUAGAAUUAGUAUAUAUUAAUGUAAAAAUAAUUUAACCCUUAAGGUUGAAUUAAGGAACUCGGCAAAUUUGUUUCUCGCCUGUUUAUUAAAAACAUGUCUUUUUGAUUUUUAUUUAAAGUCUGACCUGCCCACUGAGUAGUUUAAAGGCUGCAGUAUCCUGACUGUACAAAGGUAGCAUAAUCACUAGUCUCUUAAUUAGAGGCUUGAAUGAAUGGUUUGACGAGGGAACAGCUGUCUCAAUUUAAUUUUAUUAGAAUUUUAUCUUUAAGUUAGAAAGCUUAAAUAAUUUUAAAAGACGAGAAGACCCUAUAGAAUUUUAUAAAUUAACUUAGUUGAUACUUUUUAGUAUAUUUAGGGUUGGCUAGGUUAAUUUAUUUUGUUGGGGUGACAGAAAAAUUAGAAAAACUUUUUUUAUUUGAAACAAUUAUAUUUGAUUAAAUGAUCCGUUUAGACGAUUACAAGAUUAAAUUACCUUAGGGAUAACAGCGUAAUUUUUUUUGAGAGUUCUUAUUAAAAAAAAAGUUUGCGACCUCGAUGUUGGAUUAAAAUUAAUAUUUGGUGUAGAAGCUAAAUUAUUAGGUCUGUUCGACCUUUAAAAUUUUACAUGAUCUGAGUU
Molecule: ribosomal RNA, 1694 nt
Filed under: Notosaprinus sp. NLG-2014
Lineage: Eukaryota; Metazoa; Arthropoda; Insecta; Coleoptera; Histeridae
Description: partial 16S ribosomal RNA
Rfam family: Microsporidia small subunit ribosomal RNA (bases 1-457)
Source: RNAcentral